RNAcentral lists this ribosomal RNA (496 nucleotides) under uncultured bacterium. RNAcentral's name for it is "partial 16S ribosomal RNA". It matches the Rfam family "Bacterial small subunit ribosomal RNA", at positions 28 to 506 of the family's 1533-position model. The record is from RNAcentral.
GAUGAACGCUGGCGGCGUGCCUAAUACAUGCAAGUCGAGCGAACAGACGAGGAGCUUGCUCCUCUGACGUUAGCGGCGGACGGGUGAGUAACACGUGGAUAACCUACCUAUAAGACUGGGAUAACUUCGGGAAACCGGAGCUAAUACCGGAUAAUAUAUUGAACCGCAUGGUUCAAUAGUGAAAGACGGUUUUGCUGUCACUUAUAGAUGGAUCCGCGCCGCAUUAGCUAGUUGGUAAGGUAACGGCUUACCAAGGCAACGAUGCGUAGCCGACCUGAGAGGGGGAUCGGCCACACUGGAACUGAGACACGGUCCAGACUCCUACGGGAGGCAGCAGUAGGGAAUCUUCCGCAAUGGGCGAAAGCUUGACGGAGCAACGCCGCGUGAGUGAUGAAGGUCUUCGGAUCGUAAAACUCUGUUAUUAGGGAAGAACAAAUGUGUAAGUAACUAUGCACGUCUUGACGGGACCUAAUCAGAAAGCCACGGCGAACUACGU